GGGGAUUUGGCUCAGUGGUAGAGCGCUUGCCUAGCAAGCGCAAGGCCCUGGGUUCGAUCCUCAGCUCCG
Molecule: transfer RNA, 69 nt
Filed under: Rattus norvegicus (Norway rat)
Lineage: Eukaryota; Metazoa; Chordata; Mammalia; Rodentia; Muridae
Rfam family: tRNA
About the family: Transfer RNA (tRNA) molecules are approximately 80 nucleotides in length. Their secondary structure includes four short double-helical elements and three loops (D, anti-codon, and T loops).
Source: Rfam by way of RNAcentral